GGCAUGCAGUCGUGCGGAAAGGCUCCUUCGGGAGCACUCGAGCGGCGAAAGGGAGAGUAACGCGUGGGUUAUCUACCCUCGGGACCGGGAUAGCGGCGGGAAACUGCCGGUAAUACCGGAUAAUGUCCCCGGACCAAAUGGUGUGAUUCCGCCUGAGGAUGGGCCCGCGACCUAUUAGCUUGUUGGUGGGGUAAUGGCCUACCAAGGCAAAGAUGGGUACCGGGUGUGAGAGCAUGACCCGGCUCACUGGGACUGAGACACUGCCCAGACACCUACGGGUGGCUGCAGUCGAGAAUCUUCGGCAAUGAGCGCAAGCUCGACCGAGCGACGCCGCGUGCGGGAUGAAGGCCUUCGGGUUGUAAACCGCUGUCAGUGGGGAGGAAAUGCAUCGGGGCUCACUCCGAUGUUUGACCGAUCUGCAGAGGAAGUCCGGGCUAAGUUCGUGCCAGCAGCCGCGGUAAGACGAACCGGACGAACGUUAUUCGGAAUUACUGGGCUUAAAGAGUGCGUAGGCGGCUUGGCAGGUUGGGUGUGAAAUCCCUCGGCUCAACCGAGGAACUGCGCUCAAAACCGCCAGGCUUGAGGGAGAUAGGGGUGAGUGGAACUGAUGGUGGAGCGGUGAAAUGCGUUGAUAUCAUCAGGAACACCGGUGGCGAAGGCGGCUCACUGGGAUCUCUUCUGACGCUGAGGCACGAAAGCUAGGGGAGCGAACGGGAUUAGAUAC
This 724-nucleotide ribosomal RNA is filed under the name uncultured Planctomycetota bacterium. Its description in RNAcentral is "bacterial SSU rRNA". It matches the Rfam family "Bacterial small subunit ribosomal RNA", at positions 52 to 785 of the family's 1533-position model. Lineage: Bacteria; Pseudomonadati; Planctomycetota. The record is from RNAcentral.